This 880-nucleotide long non-coding RNA is filed under the name Bos taurus (domestic cattle). Its description in RNAcentral is "long non-coding RNA NONBTAT006277". Lineage: Eukaryota; Metazoa; Chordata; Mammalia; Artiodactyla; Bovidae. The record is from RNAcentral.
AAACUUAACUCUAACUUUCAGAAUUCUUCUGUUUCUAUGGUAGGCACUUCGGCAUGGACCCCAGCUGUAUCUUGGGGUCUUUGUGCCGGGGACACAUGCUGAUGCCCACACUCUUCCCUAUGAGCGAUUUCUUGGAGCUGGUCUGAGUUCUCUGUGACUUUCAUCAGCUCCUGGGUUUCCCCGGUUUCCUUUCUGGGGGUCUCAGAUUUCUACUCCUGCAUCUGUCUAAAUAUGUCUCCUCAGAGUAUGCUCUAGCUAAUUUGGAUAGUUUUUAAAAAUACAUAUGAUGGCAUAUUUUUUUACCUAUGGACCUCUGUUUCUGUCAUUUUGUUUCCUAUGUAAAAUGUCUAAUCUCUCUUUCUUCAAUACAUAGAUAUAUUUUAAAAAAUCAUUCCAGUGCUUCACUUGAUCUUUCCUGUUGAGUGACAUUUCUCCCUAAGAAUCUAUAUGGGAUGUUCCAUGUUCAUCUACUAUUUGCUCAUUAUACUUAGAUGUUUAUUACAAAUAUAUAUGUACUUGUCUUACCAUUACAAUUAAAUGAGUACAUGUCAAUAAAACUUAGGGUAUCAUGUGGCCCUCUCUUUGUGUGGAGCCACAUUCAAAAGAAGUCUCAUCUGAAACACAGAAAUGAUUAAAAGGUAUUCCCAAUAUUUACAUUUAUCUCUUUGAAAAUAGUAAAGGAUAGCUAAUUAAUUGCUAUUAUAGCUAAUAGCCUAUAAAAUUGCUUUUUUUCUGUCUUUUGUCCACAUUACACUGAUACAACUCUCUUUUUCUCUUCACUGAAGCCUCUUGUCAAACCCCCCAAACUUCUAGAAACCUAGUUUCACAGCUUUUUCUAAUUCUCUAUUUCUUAGCUUUUUAUUAUACAAAUUGACUUAAA